UACAGAGGUCCCGAGCGUUAGACGGGAUCACUGGGCUUAAAGCGUGUGUAGGCGGAAGGGUAAGUACGUUGUGAAAUCCCAUAGCUCAACUAUGGAACUGCUUGGUAUACUGCUUUUCUUGAGCCACUUAGGGGCAACCGGAACAAAUGGUGGAGCGGUGAAAUGCGUAGAUAUCAUUUGGAACGCCAAUGGUGAAAACAGGUUGCUGGGAGUGUGCUGACGCUGAGACACGAAAGCCAGGGGAGCAAACGGG
Molecule: ribosomal RNA, 253 nt
Filed under: uncultured bacterium
Lineage: Bacteria
Description: partial 16S ribosomal RNA
Rfam family: Bacterial small subunit ribosomal RNA
Source: RNAcentral